Long non-coding RNA from Etheostoma spectabile (orangethroat darter), 105 nucleotides. RefSeq lists it as uncharacterized. The transcript has 3 exons. Lineage: Eukaryota; Metazoa; Chordata; Actinopteri; Perciformes; Percidae. The record is from RefSeq and is a predicted model, not a curated record.
UUUAUUAUAUUUGAGAGAAGGCAGACAUCUCUACGACCGAUAUCUCCAACACUGAGAAACUCACACCAAAACAAUCUAGAUUGAUAAAUAGCACUACAGGUAAUA